Molecule: unclassified non-coding RNA, 224 nt
Filed under: plant metagenome
Description: partial contains small subunit ribosomal RNA, internal transcribed spacer 1, and 5.8S ribosomal RNA
Source: RNAcentral
UCUCCGUUGGUGAACCAGCGGAGGGAUCAUUACAGGACUCGCAAGACUCCUACAACCCUGUGAACUUAACUAUAAGCACGUUGCUUCGGCGGGUGUCUCGGAGGGGGUUCUCCCUCCCCGAGACGCUAAACCCGCCGGCAGCCUACUAUACUCUGUCUCUUUGCGUCGGCAUCUCGAGUACUAUCAACAAGUUAAAACUUUCAACAACGGAUCUCUUGGUUCUG